ACAAUAAAAGAAGGAAAAACCUAUAAAAUUUAAUGCCUAAUAGUAGGAAGACCAACAGUGUCUUAUCUAAAAUAUAAAAUUUAGAUAAGACACUGAGGGAUGCAAAUCACUACUAAAGAAUAAAUCCAAGUACUGUUGGUAUAACAUGGAGAAUGGUAUUUGUUAUCUCCUCCCACUUAUCUCAUUUUGUAGUUCAUUAUACUGGCAGGUCUCUAGCUGCUUGUGAGCUACUUUAUAACGCCGGAUACAGAAACCUUUUCUGGGUGCAAGGUGGCCUGGAAGCUGCAGAAGAGGAGGAUCUUGUUAUCGAAGGUCCUCAACCUCUUAAAUUUGCUGGAAUUGUUGGGGUUUCUGAGUUUCUUGGGUAACUAUUUAUUACUUUUCCUAUUUUCCUUUGGAAUUGUAUAAUAAACAAUCGCUAUGAGACAAUAUAGUACAUGCUAUAGUCUGUAAGUUACCCAGCUGUGAGAAAUUAUAGUACGCCUCAUUCAUAUGGAAAUAUAUAAAAUUCCAUACUACAGGUUAGUACACAUUAUACUACAUGCAAGUUUUCCAGCACCCAGUCUCACCUGGCACUUGUCCUUUGGGUUAGAAAAUGAUACUGGUACGAUCCACUUCUGAUCUACUUCAUAAAGAAAAAUGCAUCCACAGCUGAUCUCUAGACUGCCAUAGAUGAAUUAUCCAGUAGAUGCCAGUAGAUCCGAUUUGGCAUUAUUAUCAGAUAAUGGUUCUACUUCCUCUGAACAAUGAAAAGCAAGGGCUGGUCUUGUUGCUGGUUGAUGUCCCAUAUCUGAGUACAAUGGUGCUUCCAUAAGAAUGGAGCGUGUGGGUUUGGUUGUGGGUUGAAGACCUACUGAGGGCACGUGUUAACCUGUCAAUAUUUCAGAAACUUAGUUUGAAUAUUUGAUUCAACUAAAAGAGAGCGCGGUUUGCAGUUCUGGAUCACCUUUUGGAGACGAGUUUGCCAAUGAUCGCAAAUUUUCCUUGCCGAGUACUUCAAGAAGCCAAAAUACAUAUUUGCUUUUCAAUAAUGUAUACCCCCAUAUUACAUCUUUUCCGAUGCGUUUGAAUCGUCAAAUUUCAUCACUUUUUUUUUUUGGUCUACCAUGUGCUGUUUUGGAGCUAAUCAAGAGUGAUUGUCUAUGCAAAUUUUGUUGAAAUCUUUGUGGAGUUGCUAAAAGUUUACAUUUGAUUGCCUUGUAUUGUAUAGCUUCUGUUAGCGCUAUUGCCGGAUAAUUUAUCCUUGUUUCCUUUAUCUGAGCUCAAGACAAUUUAUGGACGUGUC
This is a long non-coding RNA of Carya illinoinensis, 1285 nucleotides long. RefSeq lists it as uncharacterized. Lineage: Eukaryota; Viridiplantae; Streptophyta; Magnoliopsida; Fagales; Juglandaceae. The transcript is spliced from 2 exons. The record is from RefSeq and is a predicted model, not a curated record.